This 508-nucleotide ribosomal RNA is filed under the name uncultured bacterium. Its description in RNAcentral is "partial 16S ribosomal RNA". It matches the Rfam family "Bacterial small subunit ribosomal RNA", at positions 30 to 523 of the family's 1533-position model. The record is from RNAcentral.
AUUGAACGCUGGCGGCAUGCCUUACACACGCAAGUCGAACGGCAGCGGGGGAGAAGCUUGCUUUUCCUGCCGGCGAGUGGCGAACGGGUGAGUAAUACAUCGGAACGUGCCCUGUAGUGGGGGAUAACUAGUCGAAAGAUUAGCUAAUACCGCAUACGACCUGAGGGUGAAAGUGGGGGACCGUAAGGCCUCAUGCUAUAGGAGCGGCCGAUGUCUGAUUAGCUAGUUGGUGGGGUAAAGGCCUACCAAGGCGACGAUCAGUAGCUGGUCUGAGAGGACGAUCAGCCACACUGGGACUGAGACACGGCCCAGACUCCUACGGGAGGCAGCAGUGGGGAAUUUUGGACAAUGGGCGAAAGCCUGAUCCAGCAAUGCCGCGUGUGUGAAGAAGGCCUUCGGGUUGUAAAGCACUUUUGUCCGGAAAGAAAUGGCUCUGGUUAAUACCUGGGGUCGAUGACGGUACCGGAAGAAUAAGGACCGGCUAACUACGUGCCAGCCGCCGCGGUAA